RNAcentral lists this ribosomal RNA (519 nucleotides) under Triticum aestivum (bread wheat). RNAcentral describes it as "partial small subunit ribosomal RNA". The record is from RNAcentral. Lineage: Eukaryota; Viridiplantae; Streptophyta; Magnoliopsida; Poales; Poaceae.
AUGGGCCAACCUCAGCUAGCUCCGGUUACAUCAGUAUUAGACAAGGUUUUCGUCUGCACUGAUUGGGAAAAACAGUGUUCCUCCACUUCUUGGCUUAAGGUUGAAACUAGGAUUGGAUCUAAACACACACCUUUGUUCUUCUCUUCCAGGGAAGAUUCCCCUAGGCCACCCCCUAGAUUCUUCUUUGAACUGGGUUGGUUCGAACAUGGGGAGUUUUCCGAUCAGCUCAAGGCCAAAUGGGAGGCCUGGUCUAAUGCAACCACCAUCCACCGUGGUUCUCUGUAUAGCUGGCAAGGUUUCUCGACAAGUUCCGUCAGUUUCUGCGCGGUUUGGGUGCCGAUAGAAGCGGAAACACGCGCCUCCUCAAAGCCGACACCCUUGAUGAGAUUAUUUGGCUUGACGGGCAAGCAGACACAGUUGGCCUUGGCGAAGCGGGCUGGUAACACAAAUACAUUCCAGAGAGCACCAUUAUCAAACUACACAAGGAAAAAGAGAUAUACUGGCAUCGUCAGGGCUUAA